Molecule: ribosomal RNA, 200 nt
Filed under: uncultured bacterium
Lineage: Bacteria
Description: partial 16S ribosomal RNA
Rfam family: Bacterial small subunit ribosomal RNA
Source: RNAcentral
GAUGAACGCUAGCGGCAGGCUUAACACAUGCAAGUCGAGGGGUAUAUAGGUGCUUGCACUUAUAGAGACCGGCAAACGGGUGCGGAACACGUACACAACCUACCCUUAUCUUGGGAAUAGCCCACAGAAAUGUGGAUUAAUACCCAAUAGUAUAUUAAAGUGGCAUCACUUAAAUAUUAAAGAACUUCGGAUAAGGAUGG